CACGUAGGGGACGAGCGUUGUCCGGAUUCAUUGGGCGUAAAGCGCGCGUAGGCGGCUCGGAAAGUCGGUCGUGAAAUGCCGGGGCUCAACCCCGGGACUGCGUCCGAUACUUCCGGGCUGGAGGUAGGUAGGGGAGAUCGGAAUUCCUGGUGUAGCGGUGAAAUGCGCAGAUAUCAGGAGGAACACCGGUGGCGAAGGCGGAUCUCUGGGCCUUACCUGACGCUAAGGCGCGAAAGCUAGGGGAGCGAACAGG
This 253-nucleotide ribosomal RNA is filed under the name uncultured bacterium. Its description in RNAcentral is "partial 16S ribosomal RNA". It matches the Rfam family "Bacterial small subunit ribosomal RNA", at positions 524 to 776 of the family's 1533-position model. The record is from RNAcentral.